ACAUCCAGAGAAUUUAGCAGAGAUGCUUUAGUGCCUUCGGGAACUCUGAGACAGGUGCUGCAUGGCUGUCGUCAGCUCGUGUUGCGAAAUGUUGGGUUAAGUCCCGNAACGAGCGCAACCCUUAUCCUUUGUUGCCAGCACGUAAUGGUGGGAACUCAAAGGAGACUGCCGGUGAUAAACCGGAGGAAGGUGGGGAUGACGUCAAGUCAUCAUGGCCCUUACGAGUAGGGCUACACACGUGCUACAAUGGCGCAUACAAAGAGAAGCGACCUCGCGAGAGCAAGCGGACCUCAUAAAGUGCGUCGUAGUCCGGAUUGGAGUCUGCAACUCGACUCCAUGAAGUCGGAAUCGCUAGUAAUCGUAAAUCAGAAUGUUACGGUGAAUACGUUCCCGGGCCUUGUACACACCGCCCGUCACACCAUGGGAGUGGGUUGCAAAAGAAGUAGAUAGCUUAACCUUCGGGAGGGCGUUUACCACUUUGUGAUUCAUGACUGGGGUGAAGUCGUAACAAGGUAAGCGUAGUGCU
This 526-nucleotide ribosomal RNA is filed under the name uncultured bacterium. Its description in RNAcentral is "bacterial SSU rRNA". It matches the Rfam family "Bacterial small subunit ribosomal RNA", at positions 984 to 1509 of the family's 1533-position model. The record is from RNAcentral.